CUUUGAGUUAUUGCUGUUUUAAAUGUGAAAAUUGGACCAAAAUGUCGUAAUAAGGACUGGGUACUAGGUCAAAAACGCGUAUAACUCGAAUACAAUUUGAGAUAUAAAAAAACUGUUUAAAUGUCUUAUAUGUAUAUUUUUGUAAGCUUUUUGAUGAUGCAAGUCAUUUUUGUUGUAAUUGAAUACAAAACUUCACAUUUUCUUGCUGUAAUACAAUUUAAUAGAGGAUAAUCACUGAUCACCCAAUUUUCUCGGUAUUGGGCAAGUUUUUUGCUUGGGAACUU
Molecule: non-coding RNA, 284 nt
Organism: Paramuricea clavata
Lineage: Eukaryota; Metazoa; Cnidaria; Anthozoa; Malacalcyonacea; Plexauridae
Source: the annotation of a GenBank genome assembly